AGGGGAUUGGGCAGUGCACCAGAAGAAUCUACCACAUUCCCGAGGUUUACUUCAAGAUGCAAUUGGGCCUGCCUGUCAAGCCUUUGCAGUAAACAGUCCAUGCAUAUCUAAUGAGUGACACAAACACAGCUUGCUCUGUCCCAUCAGCUUCCUCCACAGAGCCUGAACCGGCACCAGCUCCACUCUGCAGGAAGGAGGAUGUGGAAAUGAAGAGGCAGGCUCUGAUGACUCAACACAGCCACCCAAACAGGCAAUCUCCCUGGGACUUGCUCAGGGGAUUUUUACCCCCCUACAUGAAGCAGAGAAACAGUGAGUUUCCUCCAAGAGGUCAAAUCCAAGAUGGGUGUUCCUGAUCUGCCUGUAGCUCUCCUCCAACCCAGACUCCUUUCAAACUGUGCCUCCACCAUCUUCAAUAUGGAGCUUCCAAGAUUGCCCUGCUGCCCUGCAUCAAGCCUGCAAAAGAGGAUAGGGGGUCAGGCCACUCAUAUUUCAUUGGCCCAAAUUCAGUCACAUGGCCACACUCACUGCAAGGGAAGCUGGGAAAUGGAGUCUAGCUCUGUGCCCAAGAAGCAAAGAAAAACAGAUUUGAUGAAGACUUAGUCAAUCUCUGCAACAAUGAAACAGAUAAGAAGGCAAAAGAAAAAGAAUUUUACAACCUGAGGAGGGAGAGAAAAUUCAGUUAACAAAAAGAUAGACUACAUGCCAAGGUAGUCUGCAGAAUUCUACCUACCCAAAUUAUGUGUUAAAUUGUGAAAGAAGUUAUGAUAAAAAUAGGAUGAGGGUGAAAUUUGAAAAAUGCUCUGGGGACACAUAGCACACUCCUUCCCUGGUGACACAG
This 838-nucleotide long non-coding RNA is filed under the name Homo sapiens (human). RNAcentral's name for it is "long non-coding RNA NONHSAT217411.1". Lineage: Eukaryota; Metazoa; Chordata; Mammalia; Primates; Hominidae. The record is from RNAcentral.